CUCGAGCAACCCAUUUUUAUGGCUAAUUUUGGAUCUAACCCAUAAUUCCUAGACUCAUACCCCUUAACCUAGAAAACCCUACAAAAAUCUAGACCUAGACUCCUAAAAGGGGAUCCCAUCCGCCGUUUUCUCUGAAGAAAGAUCGAAGGAAAUACACAAAAAACAAAAGAACCCUAGAGGACCUAAGAAAGAGGAGCCACAAACAAAAAAAAUGAAGGAUCCCUGAUAUCGUCUUCUUCAAACUUUCAGCUGCUGAACAAAAAAAAAUGACUGCCCCCCCCCCCCCCCACGUCGAUUUUCUUCUCUAACACAACCAUAUCACCUUCUUCGAAAAAACAAGGGAGCAGCCAUAAGAAGAGAACCUUAGACCCUUCAGCCAUUUCUAGACCUUUUCUUCUCUAAACAAAAACCAGCAGGAUCCCUCACCUCUCAAAAAUGAGCACGCUCCACUAGUUACAAUGUUGUCUCAUACAAUGGAUGCAACGAAAUUUCAGCUCUACAUUUCGUAAUUGCCAAAUGAUAAUCCCAGCACACGGCAGUACCACUGCUACCAUCGCCAACUUCACUCUCUGCUAACUCACAACCUCCUCCGUUUCCAUUUUGAUAAACUUUUGCCAUUUCAAUUGUAGUUUGCUCUUGCCGUUGUUCACAUCUGCAGCGAACCAGUGGAGCUUUGUGAGCAUGGGAGGAACUUGAAUCUGUUCUCAAGCUUCACUUGGAUUUUCAGUAAUUGUCCAUUCAAUAUCUUUUGAAAUCGUGACUGAGAUACUGUCGAGAUCGAGGUAGUUCGUCGAGUUUCCGAUUCGCGUUUCUGCUGAUUUUUCCGAUUGAUGAUCUAUUUUGUUGUUGAAUAGCUGUUACUCACCCAAAAACCUUCAGGUAAUAUUGUAACGUAAUACUAUUAUUUUAGUUCUUGCCUUUAAUUUUUUAAGAUGGUCAAUGGAUUACUUUUGGACUAUUUCGGAUUCUAUACAUAUGCCGGUUUCGUGAUUCUAUACAUAGAUUAAUUAACGUUCUUUCCUUCCUUUUCUGUUCGGAAUUCGCACAAAUUGAUUUAUUUCAUUUUCUGUUUGUUAGUAGUUUAGGAAGAACUUGUAUUUGGUUGAGGUAUUGGUAGUAGUAGUAGUUUUGUUUUGGAUAAGUUUAAUCUGUUAAAGUUAUGAUCUUUGUUUGUAAUUGUUUAGCAGUUGAAUCCAUUUAAUCUGUGGAAGAUUUGAUCUUUUUGUGAUUGUUUGGUGUUUUGUAUAAACAACAACAUAAAUGAAUCCUUUUCUCUUGAGCUUUAGGCACGUAAUUAACUCAUCACAAUUAGGGUUACGGUUCCCGUGACGUAGUUGUGAUACUUAAUUUCAAAUUGGCUCUAAAUAUGAAUAUCCGUAGUUCACUUAGUUGAAUGCAUUUCCUUUAAUAAAAUUGAGGUACGCCAUCCAAUCACUUAGUCUAUGGCCCUCACAUCGAUAUCUUAACUAGUGUAGAAAAUGCCUUGAAUUUUCGAAGUUUGCUUUAGGCACGUUAAUUAAAAUAAUUAUCAUAGCUAUGGGUACGGUUCCCGUGACGUAGUUGUGAUGCUUAAUUUUAAAAUCCGGAGGUACAUUUAUGUGACCCGGCCACAAUUUAAUCUUACUAUUAAAAUAAACAUGUAGUAGAUCGUGAGUACGGUUCCCGUGACAUGAUUCACAACAUGUAUUCAAAUAAUUAGUUAUAUAACAAUUGAAUUACUAAAAGCGGUUUAAAAGGAAAAAAUGCACAUAGGUUUAAAAGUGUUUUAAAAUCAAAUAAAUAUGCCAAUAAUAACAAUUGAGCGACCGUGCUAAAACCACGGAACCCGGGAAGGCCUAACACCUUCUCUCAGGUUAACAGAAUUCCUUACCCGAAUUUCUGUGUUUGCGGACUGUAAAACAGAGUCAAUCUUUCCUCGAUUCGGGAUUUAAAACCGGUGACUUAGGACACCAUAAAUUAUCCCAAGUGGCACCUCUGAUUUUUAAAUAAAUAAUCUCGUUUCGAUUGUCACUUUAAAUUGGAAAAAAACUCCCUUAUACUACCUUCGGGUGUGUAAAAAGAAGGUGUGACAGCUCUGGCGACUCUGCUGGGGAUAAGAACCCAGAAUCUCUGGUUCACGGUUCAAGAAUUCAAGCUUAGAAUAAUUGUUAUAUUUGGUUUUAUUUAUUGUCUGAUUUUAUCUACAUGUUUGGGCCUAAUGUGCUAAAUGUUGAUUUUUACCGCUUUGAUAUUAUCUGAUCUGUAUAUAUAAACUGCUACGAAACCCCUCUCUUAUAUCUUCUGAGGAGUGCACGCUGGCGUGACUUCUUUCUGUUAGUGUCAUAUCCCAAUUAAAAACGAGGUUCAGACAAGUUGCAAAGCUGGAUGAUCUUUUGGUUACUGGUACGUUGCCCCCCCCCCCCCCCGGCCUCGAGUUUUCUACUCGGGUAAGCCAGGUCUAGAACAAUACACCCAGAUUUUAAACUUAGAAUAACACAGCCUCAUGUCGGAUCCAUAGUAGGAAUGCUUGUCUGCAUCACGUGCAUUUGACUUUGGGAACUCAAUACAUGGGUUGGGUCCGUCUAGGAAAGGUGUACCCAUAAAACAAAAGAUUAUCUUAUUGCAUCUUAUAUGCUACAUGUUGCAAUUUUCAAGGGUAAACGAGGUCAUUUGGCGGACCAAUGAGGUUUGAGGAUAAAUGAGAAAAAAGAGGGUGAAGUGUAAAAAAAUAAAGCAAGUAAGGCUCAGUUAUGUUUUUCUUUCACAUUUUAUUUUUAAGAAAAGAACAAAAAAAUGAAAAUGGAAAAAUUCAAAAAGAUUUUUCACUUUUUCAUCAUUUUCCGAAAAUCAAAAAUCAAAAAAAGAAUGGGAAAAGAAAAUCCAAAAAGAGUUUAUAUGCUUCAUCAUUUUUCAAAAAAAGACAAAAAAAAUUAUUUUCUCUGAAUUAGUUGUUUUUUUUUUAAUUCUUGCCCGUAUCCAAUCUGCCUGAACUACGCAUACCUGAUUCUCGUCUUUCGGGGCAUGAUACGUAGGCAACCCACAUAGGGUCCAGUCUUCCUAGUGAAUCUUAGGUUUUUGGCUUCGCGGGGUCUUAGCUAAAUUUUGCAUUUUUAGCCACUUUUAGCUACAUAGGUUAGUUUUAGAAAAAUAAUCACAAUCAUGUCUUGCAUGUGUCCAAUAGGGAGUGUUAUUGUCUCACAUAGUGUUCUAGGUCUUUAACUUUAUUUGGUCUUAAUUUUCUCAUACAGGUGUGGAUUUACCGGAGUUUGAGCACGACAGAUACCCCAGGACCAUCUAGUCAGGAUCAGGAGUUGCUUAAGAAGAUGUUUUUUUUUGUUUUUUUUUAUGUUUUGAGUCUAUUUUUUUAUGUCGUCUUUUACCUUCUAGUUUUGUAUAAUAAUGCCUAGUCUUUUAGGUGAUUUUAGAGUCUGUCAUAGGCUAGUUAAGUUUGUUGAGUCUUUUGUUAUGGUAUUUCCUAUUUUGUAUUUUGAAAAAAAAUAUGUGUAAUAAGUCAAAAAUCCAAAAAAAGAAGAAGGAG
Molecule: long non-coding RNA, 3517 nt
Filed under: Nicotiana tabacum (common tobacco)
Lineage: Eukaryota; Viridiplantae; Streptophyta; Magnoliopsida; Solanales; Solanaceae
Description: long non-coding RNA (NTAB_LNC009656)
Source: RNAcentral